UACGGGGGGAGCAAGCGUUGUCCGGAUUUAUUGGGCGUAAAGGGCGCGUAGGCGGCGAUUCAAGUGACGGGUGAAAUCCCUCGGCUUAACCGAGGAACUGCCUGUCAGACUGGAUUGCUUGAGGCCGGGAGAGGCGAGUGGAAUUCCCAGUGUAGCGGUGAAAUGCGUAGAUAUUGGGAGGAACACCAGUGGCGAAGGCGGCUCGCUGGACCGGUUCUGACGCUGAGGCGCGAAAGCGUGGGGAGCAAACAGG
Molecule: ribosomal RNA, 253 nt
Filed under: uncultured bacterium
Lineage: Bacteria
Description: partial 16S ribosomal RNA
Rfam family: Bacterial small subunit ribosomal RNA
Source: RNAcentral